RNAcentral lists this ribosomal RNA (512 nucleotides) under uncultured bacterium. RNAcentral describes it as "partial 16S ribosomal RNA". It matches the Rfam family "Bacterial small subunit ribosomal RNA", at positions 28 to 507 of the family's 1533-position model. The record is from RNAcentral.
GACGAACGCUGGCGGCGUGCUUAACACAUGCAAGUCGAACGAAAAGAGGGAAAGAGCUUGCUCUUUCCGGAAUUGAGUGGCAAACGGGUGAGUAACACGUAAACAACCUGCCUUCAGGAUGGGGACAACAGACGGAAACGACUGCUAAUACCGAAUAAGUUCCAAGGGCCGCAUGGCCCAUGGAAGAAAAGGUGGCCUCUACCUGUAAGCUAUCGCCUGAAGAGGGGUUUGCGUCUGAUUAGCUGGUUGGAGGGGUAACGGCCCACCAAGGCGACGAUCAGUAGCCGGUCUGAGGGGAUGAACGGCCACACUGGAACUGAGACACGGUCCAGACUCCUACGGGGGCAGCAGUGGGGAAUCUUCCGCAAUGGGCGAAAGCCUGACGGAGCAACGCCGCGUGAGUGAUGACGGCCUUCGGGUUGUAAAACUCUGUGAUCCAGGACGAAAAGGCAGAGUGCGAAGAACAAACUGCAUUGACGGUACCGGAAAAGCAAGCCACGGCUAACUACGUG